GAUGAACGCUGGCGGCGUGCCUAAUACAUGCAAGUCGAGCGAACAGACGAGGAGCUUGCUCCUCUGACGUUAGCGGCGGACGGGUGAGUAACACGUGGAUAACCUACCUAUAAGACUGGGAUAACUUCGGGAAACCGGAGCUAAUACCGGAUAAUAUAUUGAACCGCAUGGUUCAAUAGUGAAAGACGGUUUUGCUGUCACUUAUAGAUGGAUCCGCGCCGCAUUAGCUAGUUGGUAAGGUAACGGCUUACCAAGGCAACGACGCGUAGCCGACCUGAGAGGGUGAUCGGCCACACUGGAACUGAGACACGGUCCAGACUCCUACGGGAGGCAGCAGUAGGGAAUCUUCCGCAAUGGGCGAAAGCCUGACGGAGCAACGCCGCGUGAGUGAUGAAGGUCUUCGGAUCGUAAAACUCUGUUAUUAGGGAAGAACAAAUGUGUAAGUAACUAUGCACGUCUUGACGGUACCUAAUCAGAAAGCCACGGCUAACUACGUG
RNAcentral lists this ribosomal RNA (497 nucleotides) under uncultured bacterium. RNAcentral describes it as "partial 16S ribosomal RNA". It matches the Rfam family "Bacterial small subunit ribosomal RNA", at positions 28 to 507 of the family's 1533-position model. The record is from RNAcentral.